RNAcentral lists this ribosomal RNA (497 nucleotides) under uncultured bacterium. RNAcentral's name for it is "partial 16S ribosomal RNA". It matches the Rfam family "Bacterial small subunit ribosomal RNA", at positions 28 to 507 of the family's 1533-position model. The record is from RNAcentral.
GAUGAACGCUGGCGGCGUGCCUAAUACAUGCAAGUCGAACGCAUAGCGAAAGGUGCUUGCACCUUUCAAGUGAGUGGCGAACGGGUGAGUAACACGUGGACAACCUGCCUCAAGGCUGGGGAUAACAUUUGGAAACAGAUGCUAAUACCGAAUAAAACUUAGUGUCGCAUGACACAAAGUUAAAAGGCGCUUCGGCGUCACCUAGAGAUGGAUCCGCGGUGCAUUAGUUAGUUGGUGGGGUAAAGGCCUACCAAGACAAUGAUGCAUAGCCGAGUUGAGAGACUGAUCGGCCACAUUGGGACUGAGACACGGCCCAAACUCCUACGGGAGGCUGCAGUAGGGAAUCUUCCACAAUGGGCGAAAGCCUGAUGGAGCAACGCCGCGUGUGUGAUGAAGGCUUUCGGGUCGUAAAGCACUGUUGUAUGGGAAGAACAGCUAGAAUAGGAAAUGAUUUUAGUUUGACGUUACCAUACCAGAAAGGGACGGCUAAAUACGUG